CAAAACUGUGUCUUUUUUUGUUUUUAUUUUUUUAGGGUGAAAGCUAGUUGCACUCUACAUUUUCCCAUUUACACCCUAUUUCUCCCAAAGUCCAAAUGCACCCUUACCCUUCACCUGAAACGCAACCCUUGUUCUUUCUUUCCCCUAAAGACGAGAAGAUCUGGUGCUCCUUGCUUUCAUUUUUCGACCAAGUCGACUAAACCCAGUAGAUAUAGGAUCCCCUGUGUCUUGUGUCUUGCAAUUUCUCUUUUUCGUCAAUACUCAACUAAGAUUUGUUAGGCGAUAUACACGAAGAUCAGAGCAAGAUUGAUGUGAAGGAUUUGUUCGGGUUUGAUUUUGGAAAGGAAGUGGAGACGUGAUUACCUUCGUGGGUAUUGGAGAGGGAGGACGACGGAAGAGAGUGCUGCUUGUUAGGGUUUGUUAAGUGCGUGUUUGGUGAUUUUGAAAAAUGGAGUGUGAAUGAGAAUAUGUGAAAUCCAACUAGCCCCCACCUAGCAAAAGCAAAGUCAAAACGACGCCGUUUUAAGUUAAUAAAAUUGAGAAAAAAACCCAAAUAAAACGUUGUUUAUAAAAUAGAGCGAAAGAGGGGCAAAAAUAAAGAAACCCAUAAAAUAGAAGAAAGAAAGGGAGACUUCACUCUUAGUCCUGCUUGCUCCGGAUCGUGUGCGAAUGGAUCCUUAAAGUAAGGAUUGUUUUGUUCCCCAAAUGCAAGAACAUAGAUAGACCCCGAUGUACGUACAUGUAAAAAAAAAAAAAAAACUGUUUUAAUUGUAGCUAUUGUUGCCGUGAAUUAAAUUUAUCGUCAGCCUCUUCUCCUUCUGGAAUUAAGAACAGGAGAUCCAUUCCGAUUUAGGGAUUGAUCUUUCGCAACAGAUCUUCGAUCGAACUUUGUUUUCCAAGGAAUUUCUUUACAGGUUAGGGAUUGAUCUCUUCGAAAUAGUACAACAGCCGCGUGUAAACCUUAUGGCUAAGGAAGGCAUCAAAUUUUGUGGUUAUAGUUGCUUCACUUUUGUUCAUUCUUUGGAUUGCUUUGUUUCCCUUUUUACGUGUAGGGAGUAGGGACUGACAAUAAUUGGAGUAGAUAAUGAAAAUUUGAUGAUUCUUUGUUGUUUUUAGAAAAUCGAGAUUUCGGAUGUGGAUCAUCUUUCUUCUAUAGAGGCACUUCAGUUUACUUGAAUGUCAUUUUUGGGGUCUGUCAUCGUAGGGUAUUUUCAUUUUCUUUUGUUACGUCCUUUCGUCUAAUGGUGAGAGUACAUCUAUUAGUUAUGAGCAGGUUCUCAUCAUCAUAGAUCAUGCAGAUAUUCUACCAGUGUAGGUACAUUUUGUCAUGCUGGAAUUGUGCCUUUUGUAAUAUUUCUGUAGUGAAAUUUCAGGACUCAA
This is a long non-coding RNA of Tripterygium wilfordii, 1380 nucleotides long. RefSeq lists it as uncharacterized. The record is from RefSeq and is a predicted model, not a curated record. The transcript is spliced from 2 exons. NCBI's taxonomy places the organism in Eukaryota, Viridiplantae, Streptophyta, Magnoliopsida, Celastrales, Celastraceae.